ACCAUGCAGUCGAGCGGUAGCACAGGGGAGCUUGCUCCCUGGGUGACGAGCGGCGGACGGGUGAGUAAUGUCUGGGAAACUGCCUGAUGGAGGGGGAUAACUACUGGAAACGGUAGCUAAUACCGCAUAACGUCGCAAGACCAAAGAGGGGGACCUUCGGGCCUCUUGCCAUCAGAUGUGCCCAGAUGGGAUUAGCUAGUAGGUGGGGUAAUGGCUCACCUAGGCGACGAUCCCUAGCUGGUCUGAGAGGAUGACCAGCCACACUGGAACUGAGACACGGUCCAGACUCCUACGGGAGGCAGCAGUGGGGAAUAUUGCACAAUGGGCGCAAGCCUGAUGCAGCCAUGCCGCGUGUGUGAAGAAGGCCUUCGGGUUGUAAAGCACUUUCAGCGAGGAGGAAGGUGGUGAACUUAAUACGNUCAUCAAUUGACGUUACUCGCAGAAGAAGCACCGGCUAACUCCGUGCCAGCAGCCGCGGUAAUACGGAGGGUGCAAGCGUUAAUCGGAAUUACUGGGCGUAAAGCGCACGCAGGCGGUUUGUUAAGUCAGAUGUGAAAUCCCCGGGCUCAACCUGGGAACUGCAUUUGAAACUGGCAAGCUAGAGUCUCGUAGAGGGGGGUAGAAUUCCAGGUGUAGCGGUGAAAUGCGUAGAGAUCUGGAGGAAUACCGGUGGCGAAGGCGGCCCCCUGGACGAAGACUGACGCUCAGGUGCGAAAGCGUGGGGAGCAAACAGGAUUAGAUACCCUGGUAGUCCACGCUGUAAACGAUGUCGAUUUGGAGGUUGUGCCCUUGAGGCGUGGCUUCCGGAGCUAACGCGUUAAAUCGACCGCCUGGGGAGUACGGCCGCAAGGUUAAAACUCAAAUGAAUUGACGGGGGCCCGCACAAGCGGUGGAGCAUGUGGUUUAAUUCGAUGCAACGCGAAGAACCUUACCUACUCUUGACAUCCAGAGAACUUNCCAGAGAUGCUUUGGUGCCUUCGGGAACUCUGAGACAGGUGCUGCAUGGCUGUCGUCAGCUCGUGUUGUGAAAUGUUGGGUUAAGUCCCGCAACGAGCGCAACCCUUAUCCUUUGUUGCCAGCGGUUCGGCCGGGAACUCAAAGGAGACUGCCAGUGAUAAACUGGAGGAAGGUGGGGAUGACGUCAAGCUCAUCAUGGCCCUUACGAGUAGGGCUACACACGUGCUACAAUGGCGUAUACAAAGAGAAGCGACCUCGCGAGAGCAAGCGGACCUCAUAAAGUACGUCGUAGUCCGGAUUGGAGUCUGCAACUCGACUCCAUGAAGUCGGAAUCGCUAGUAAUCGUAGAUCAGAAUGCUACGGUGAAUACGUUCCCGGGCCUUGUACACACCGCCCGUCACACCAUGGGAGUGGGUUGCAAAAGAAGUAGGUAGCUUAACCUUCGGGAGGGCGCUUACCACUUUGUGAUUCAUGACUGGGGUGAAGUCGUAACAAAGGUAACCAA
Molecule: ribosomal RNA, 1462 nt
Filed under: Serratia marcescens
Lineage: Bacteria; Pseudomonadati; Pseudomonadota; Gammaproteobacteria; Enterobacterales; Yersiniaceae
Description: bacterial SSU rRNA
Rfam family: Bacterial small subunit ribosomal RNA
Source: RNAcentral